This 3277-nucleotide long non-coding RNA is filed under the name Sorghum bicolor (sorghum). Its description in RNAcentral is "long non-coding RNA (SBIC_LNC007554)". The record is from RNAcentral. Lineage: Eukaryota; Viridiplantae; Streptophyta; Magnoliopsida; Poales; Poaceae.
AGGGUCGACUUCGCCAAUGCUUCGACCCACCUCCUGCCGUGCCUCCUGCCGGAUCUUGGGGACCGAGAGGGAACGACGGGAAGGGCACCCGCGGUCUCGUCCUCACACCGGUCAGAGACAGAGACACCGACUUCGUUCACCCGACUGCGUGGACUCCACGGCGGCGACGGAGGCAAAUACGGUGGCACAGGAGUAGCGCCUAACCCAGCGCUGGAGGAUUCGCGCGGUGCCUUGGAGGCAUCACAGACAGAGUGCAGCCGUGCAGGUGAGGGUGAGGGUGAAACAUAGAACAAGGUAAAAUUUGUGUCGCCGCCCUUCCUCAACAAGCCGCUCUUGCGCUCCUUUGCUUUCGAUCCAAGCGGCGCCCCACCUGACGAGUCACAACAGCCAGACCCGUUCCUGCCCCUUCAAGGUCCAGGAGUGUCAGCGGCUUCCAUGGAAGCUGCGCCAAGAAGGGGCUUCUAGUUCUCGCGGCAAGGAGAAGGCAGCAGGAGGAGCAGGCCUGCCGUCGACGGACCUGCAUGUGUGAAAGGCCGCAGGAGGAGCAGAGUAGCAGACCUAUCUAUGGCACUGCAUCCGAUCUGCCACAACUACUGCAACUUCAUGGCCAAGUACGUAGUCUUAUUUUCCCUCCGUGCUCUUGGCUCGGUUUAUGUUUCUACUUUCUAACAAUCGUUGUCAAUUCAGUUGUUCCUAUUUUGUGAGAUUGAUUACUUCCUAUUAUUCUUGCUGCUUAUCCUCUGAAAUAGCCAUGGGAAGGCAUAUAACAGAUUUUCAUUUAACAAUGCCCAGAUCGUAUAUACAGAUGAGGCCUAGGACUUGUGUGUGAGUAACGAGAUGUGCGAUAGAUGAAUUCACUGUAUUAACCUAGGUUUUUUUUUCCUGUGCUUGGGCAAUAACUUUUUAUUUUUCUGACUUUAAUUAACUCAUUACAAAUGCUUUGGACAUGAUGUACUCUCUUGAUGAUGUUGAAUGAAUAUUUUGGGGAAAAUUCAUACGGCCUUGUAUGGAUUGGUGUAGUGAGGUCCUGAGGAGCUCUGAGGCGGUCUGUGAGAUGGUCAAAUUCACAAAUAAUUCAGUGUAAAUUCAUACCAUUCUCAUUUUUUCUGGAGGCCAACAUGAGCUUGAGAAGAGCACCACUCCUGUGGUGAUCACAAAUAAUUCAGUGUAAUUUUCUUACAUACAAGGGGUAACAUCUGUAGUAGGAACAGAGCCAAACCUUUUGCUUAGUUCCUUAUGCUUGUGUAACUGUAGGUUGCCCGCGAUGAAUUUCUGUGAUUUUGCUCCCAUUUGAACUUAAAAAUUAAAGUUAUGGUUUAUUUCAGCUGUCCUCUCAUUUCAGGGUUUCUCUAGAUGCUCUGCUACGUGCUCUUGCUUCAAUUUUUCCUAUCAUUAUUAGGAUUAAAGAAUCAAAUCCAAUUUCCAUAUAGUCAAAUGUAUACAUUUUACCUGCAUGUGAUUCUGAUUGCUCUAUGACUAAGUACUUCUGGUUUUUCUUUAGUCUCCAGAAUCUGUCUUUGGUUUCGUUUGUGUGGAUUAUUCUAGAUGCAACUAUGUGUUCCCCCAUCUAUGCUCUAAAUCUCUGUACUGCUAUUCCAGAUUCAACAAUGUGUUCUGAGCACAAUAUGUAAAAGGAAAAAUUACUAAAUUGUGGACACCAUCGGAAAUCAUAUAUCAAAUGGAAGAAAACUAUCCUACUGUUCCUAAGUCUACUUCAGGCCGUAUUGAAUUAGAAUUCUAAUGAUUUGUAGAAAGAAUAUGAGGUUGUAGAGAUUAUCAUAGAAAGAAUUUUUGAAGAUAUCUUGAUUAAUAGGUCAAAAUAUUGUUAGAAUCUUGAUCAGAGAUAGCCACGUAUCUGAAGAAAACAGGAUAAAUAUAAAUUUAAAGAUAACGACAAAAUUAUAGUUAUUGAUAUACAAGAGAUCAACUUGUGAUGAUAACACCUGUUGUACCAGUUUAAUGUACAAGUACAUGAAAUUCAGAAUAUCUCUGAGAAAUGAACACUCACUUUGCAGUAUUUUAAUGCUUAGGCAGCUUUCUUCCGGGUUGUUAAAAGAAAUACAUUUAUGAAAUAGUUUGGUACUUGAAUCCUUAUAUAAAAUUCAAUAGUACCAAAAUCUAUUUCUGAAUGCUAUGUUUAUAAAUGUCACUAUGAAAUAGACUGUCAGUUUAUUUAGCUAAAUGAAAAAAUGACAGAGAGCUCACAAUGGAAAAGGAGACAUGACCAGAUUGGUGCAGAUGCAGAUAGAUUCUUUGUCUGCCUGCCACCAAAGAGAUGGAAAAGCAGGUUUUUGCAUGACUUGAAUAAACUGCAAGGUGAAAUUAUCUUUCCACUGUAUCAUGACAAUUAAUAGUCAUUUGGUUGCUUGACAGAACUAAAAGAUGUCAGAUCCUUUAUUUUUUUUUUCAAAAGAUUAGAUCCUUUACUUUCUGAUGACAUACAUGCUUAUUCAAGCAUGUGUGUUUCUGAACUUUGGGUUUAUUGGAAUGUUUGUUUAUUGCAUGACAUUUCAGGGGAAGGGACAACCUGUGUUUGCACCAAAAAAAUAGAUGAAGAUGGCUCAAGGAAAAAUGAUUGCCUUGUGUCAAAAUGAGGCACAAGUAGGCCAAUAUUGUAGUCCAUAAAAAGGGCACACUAUUAGCGUUAGCACCACGCGAGACCAAAUAUUGUUCGAGAAUUAACUUUGGACAUAAUAUGACCCGUAGCUUUAGCACGUGCACUGAUAUCUGCUGUUAACUUAUAUACUAUGUAGUGGCUAUAUUACUCAUUUUUGCAUGAGGUAGCAUUGCAAAUAAGUUAGGCAACUUCUUAUACGGUUCUGAACUAUGUUAAUUUGCAGCUCCCUCUGCGAGGACCUGACAUUGCACACUUGGCACAAGGUAUAACUAGAUGACUUGAUUCAACCUUUGGAGGCUUCAUGCUGCCUCAUGUCAAAUUCAGGAACUAGCCGCGCAAGUGCAUAAUCUUUAGCGACCACUUCCAUAUUAACUGUUUCCGUUACUGUUUCCUAUGUCUUGGAAUGGAUUGUCCUACCAUACUAACUGUUGGGCAAAGAGUAGAAGCAAGUCAAGGGCAAUGGAACUGCAGAAGAGAAUUGUAUCGAUAGCCUCUUCUAAAGUGAAGCAUCUCUGAGUUUGUUCUCUUGAUCCCUCCACUAUAGCCGAUGGCUUCUUGUGAGAUCAGAUAUAAAACCGUGUUAUUGUUAUAUCACUGUUUUGUUGUUUUUAUGCGCAUCCUAAAAUGAUACCGUAGCGUUAGCACGGGCACUAUACUAGU